AUUGAACGCUGGCGGCAGGCUUAACACAUGCAAGUCGAGCGGGGUGAUGGUGCUUGCACUAUCACUUAGCGGCGGACGGGUGAGUAAUGCUUAGGAAUCUGCCUAUUAGUGGGGGACAACAUCUCGAAAGGGAUGCUAAUACCGCAUACGUCCUACGGGAGAAAGCAGGGGAUCACUUGUGACCUUGCGCUAAUAGAUGAGCCUAAGUCGGAUUAGCUAGUUGGUGGGGUAAAGGCCUACCAAGGCGACGAUCUGUAGCGGGUCUGAGAGGAUGAUCCGCCACACUGGGACUGAGACACGGCCCAGACUCCUACGGGAGGCAGCAGUGGGGAAUAUUGGACAAUGGGGGGAACCCUGAUCCAGCCAUGCCGCGUGUGUGAAGAAGGCCUUAUGGUUGUAAAGCACUUUAAGCGAGGAGGAGGCUCUUUUGGUUAAUACCCAAGAUGAGUGGACGUUACUCGCAGAAUAAGCACCGGCUAACUCUGUGCCAGCAGCCGCGGUAAUACAGAGGGUGCAAGCGUUAAUCGGAUUUACUGGGCGUAAAGCGCGCGUAGGCGGCCAAUUAAGUCAAAUGUGAAAUCCCCGAGCUUAACUUGGGAAUUGCAUUCGAUACUGGUUGGCUAGAGUGUGGGAGAGGAUGGUAGAAUUCCAGGUGUAGCGGUGAAAUGCGUAGAGAUCUGGAGGAAUACCGAUGGCGAAGGCAGCCAUCUGGCCUAACACUGACGCUGAGGUGCGAAAGCAUGGGGAGCAAACAGGAUUAGAUACCCUGGUAGUCCAUGCCGUAAACGAUGUCUACUAGCCGUUGGGGCCUUUGAGGCUUUAGUGGCGCAGCUAACGCGAUAAGUAGACCGCCUGGGGAGUACGGUCGCAAGACUAAAACUCAAAUGAAUUGACGGGGGCCCGCACAAGCGGUGGAGCAUGUGGUUUAAUUCGAUGCAACGCGAAGAACCUUACCUGGCCUUGACAUAGUAGAAACUUUCCAGAGAUGGAUUGGUGCCUUCGGGAAUCUACAUACAGGUGCUGCAUGGCUGUCGUCAGCUCGUGUCGUGAGAUGUUGGGUUAAGUCCCGCAACGAGCGCAACCCUUUUCCUUACUUGCCA
Molecule: ribosomal RNA, 1100 nt
Filed under: Acinetobacter sp. M114
Lineage: Bacteria; Pseudomonadati; Pseudomonadota; Gammaproteobacteria; Moraxellales; Moraxellaceae
Description: bacterial SSU rRNA
Rfam family: Bacterial small subunit ribosomal RNA
Source: RNAcentral